ACACUCCUACGGGAGGCAGCAGUGGGGAAUUUUGGACAAUGGGCGAAAGCCUGAUCCAGCAAUGCCGCGUGAGUGAAGAAGGCCUUCGGGUUGUAAAGCUCUUUUGUCAGGGAAGAAACGGUGAAAGCUAAUAUCUUUUGCUAAUGACGGUACCUGAAGAAUAAGCACCGGCUAACUACGUGCCAGCAGCCGCGGUAAUACGUAGGGUGCAAGCGUUAAUCGGAAUUACUGGGCGUAAAGCGUGCGCAGGCGGUUUUGUAAGUCUGAUGUGAAAUCCCCGGGCUCAACCUGGGAAUUGCAUUGGAGACUGCAAGGCUAGAAUCUAGCAGAGGGGGGUAGAAUUCCACGUGUAGCAGUGAAAUGCGUAGAUAUGUGGAGGAACACCGAUGGCGAAGGCAGCCCCCUGGGUCAAGAUUGACGCUCAUGCACGAAAGCGUGGGGAGCAAACAGGAUUAGAAACCCGUGUAGUCCC
RNAcentral lists this ribosomal RNA (472 nucleotides) under uncultured organism. Its description in RNAcentral is "partial 16S ribosomal RNA". It matches the Rfam family "Bacterial small subunit ribosomal RNA", at positions 333 to 797 of the family's 1533-position model. The record is from RNAcentral.